This 497-nucleotide ribosomal RNA is filed under the name uncultured bacterium. RNAcentral describes it as "partial 16S ribosomal RNA". It matches the Rfam family "Bacterial small subunit ribosomal RNA", at positions 28 to 507 of the family's 1533-position model. The record is from RNAcentral.
GAUGAACGCUGGCGGCGUGCCUAAUACAUGCAAGUCGAGCGAACAGACGAGGAGCUUGCUCCUCUGACGUUAGCGGCGGACGGGUGAGUAACACGUGGAUAACCUACCUAUAAGACUGGGAUAACUUCGGGAAACCGGAGCUAAUACCGGAUAAUAUAUUGAACCGCAUGGUUCAAUAGUGAAAGACGGUUUUGCUGUCACUUAUAGAUGGUUCCGCGCCGCAUUAGCUAGUUGGUAAGGUAACGGCUUACCAAGGCAACGAUGCGUAGCCGACCUGAGAGGAUGAUCGGCCACACUGGAACUGAGACACGGUCCAGACUCCUACGGGAGGCAGCAGUAGGGAAUCUUCCGCAAAGGGCGAAAGCCUGACGGAGCAACGCCGCGUGAGUGAUGAAGGUCUUCGGAUCGUAAAACUCUGUUAUUAGGGAAGAACAAAUGUGUAAGUAACUAUGCACGUCUUGACGGUACCUAAUCAGAAAGCCACGGCUAACUACGUG